This is a long non-coding RNA of Panicum virgatum (switchgrass), 718 nucleotides long. RefSeq lists it as uncharacterized. The transcript is spliced from 2 exons. NCBI's taxonomy places the organism in Eukaryota, Viridiplantae, Streptophyta, Magnoliopsida, Poales, Poaceae. The record is from RefSeq and is a predicted model, not a curated record.
CCUUUGUGUAUCCUUUGUGCCCGGACGACCUUCUGUGUGUUCUGUGAUGCAUUGUUACGAUGAUGUAUGUGAGCACAUACAUGCUAUCUCUCUCGUUUCCAUGCCAUCUUGCUUGUUCCGAGUACCCUACAGAUCGACGAACCAUCUCCUGUCGGCGCGAAGGCCGUGAAGCGACUGCCUCGGCCGGUGAUGCCAGACAGGUGGCACUCUCGUAGACCAUUCGGUUGUAUGGUUUCGUUCAUCGGAUUUACCUUGUCGUGUCUAACACCUCUGUGUUGAUUGCGAGGUAAAUCGGGUGAUCAACUGAUCAUGGACUCUGCCGCCGAAUCGUUGCUCCACUGAUUCCUUCCGUUGGACCCCGUCCACUUGAAUUGAUGGACCAACAAUGGAUGUAUGGCGAUCGGUGCACCAUGGCAUGGAUUAAUGAUCUGAAGUUUUUUCUCGAUGUGUCUGAGACCCACAAGUCAUAGAAAGGUUUUCCCAUACACCUCAUCAUCAGUAUUCAACCUGCUUACUGUCUAUAUGAUAUACGUAGGGAGGAUAAGGCUUAUAAGAUGGUGGACGCUAUGUACCUCAAGUUCUAUAAGAUUAUCUUGAACGCUAUAUUAGCCUCAUAAAUUCAAAAAUAUAAGUUACUAUAGCAUUCUAUAUCUAGGUAAUUCUCAGAAAAUUAUGUAAGAAGUUUAAGAUAUUUGGCAUGUUGGAGACAUCUUCUUUC